Molecule: ribosomal RNA, 2192 nt
Filed under: Salmonella enterica subsp. enterica serovar Durham
Lineage: Bacteria; Pseudomonadati; Pseudomonadota; Gammaproteobacteria; Enterobacterales; Enterobacteriaceae
Description: partial 23S ribosomal RNA
Rfam family: Bacterial large subunit ribosomal RNA
Source: RNAcentral
GUUAAGCGACUAAGCGUACACGGUGGAUGCCCUGGCAGUCAGAGGCGAUGAAGGGCGUGCUAAUCUGCGAUAAGCGCCGGUAAGGUGAUAUGAACCGUUAUAACCGGCGAUACCCGAAUGGGGAAACCCAGUGUGAUUCGUCACACUAUCAUUAACUGAAUCCAUAGGUUAAUGAGGCGAACCGGGGGAACUGAAACAUCUAAGUACCCCGAGGAAAAGAAAUCAACCGAGAUUCCCCCAGUAGCGGCGAGCGAACGGGGAGGAGCCCAGAGCCUGAAUCAGCAUGUGUGUUAGUGGAAGCGUCUGGAAAGGCGCGCGAUACAGGGUGACAGCCCCGUACACAAAAGCGCAUGUGCUGUGAGCUCGAUGAGUAGGGCGGGACACGUGGUAUCCUGUCUGAAUAUGGGGGGACCAUCCUCCAAGGCUAAAUACUCCUGACUGACCGAUAGUGAACCAGUACCGUGAGGGAAAGGCGAAAAGAACCCCGGCGAGGGGAGUGAAAAAGAACCUGAAACCGUGUACGUACAAGCAGUGGGAGCACAGGUUUACCUGUGUGACUGCGUACCUUUUGUAUAAUGGGUCAGCGACUUAUAUUCUGUAGCAAGGUUAACCGUAUAGGGGAGCCGCAGGGAAACCGAGUCUUAAUUGGGCGUUAAGUUGCAGGGUAUAGACCCGAAACCCGGUGAUCUAGCCAUGGGCAGGUUGAAGGUUGGGUAACACUAACUGGAGGACCGAACCGACUAAUGUUGAAAAAUUAGCGGAUGACCUGUGGCUGGGGGUGAAAGGCCAAUCAAACCGGGAGAUAGCUGGUUCUCCCCGAAAGCUAUUUAGGUAGCGCCUCGUGAAUUCAUCUCCGGGGGUAGAGCACUGUUUCGGCUAGGGGGCCAUCCCGGCUUACCAACCCGAUGCAAACUGCGAAUACCGGAGAAUGUUAUCACGGGAGACACACGGCGGGUGCUAACGUCCGUCGUGAAGAGGGAAACAACCCAGACCGCCAGCUAAGGUCCCAAAGUCAUGGUUAAGUGGGAAACGAUGUGGGAAGGCCCAGACAGCCAGGAUGUUGGCUUAGAAGCAGCCAUCAUUUAAAGAAAGCGUAAUAGCUCACUGGUCGAGUCGGCCUGCGCGGAAGAUGUAACGGGGCUAAACCAUGCACCGAAGCUGCGGCAGCGACGCUGAUGCGUUGUUGGGUAGGGGAGCGUUCUGUAAGCCUGCGAAGGUGGCCUGUGAGGGUUGCUGGAGGUAUCAGAAGUGCGAAUGCUGACAUAAGUAACGAUAAAGCGGGUGAAAAGCCCGCUCGCCGGAAGACCAAGGGUUCCUGUCCAACGUUAAUCGGGGCAGGGUGAGUCGACCCCUAAGGCGAGGCCGAAAGGCGUAGUCGAUGGGAAACGGGUUAAUAUUCCCGUACUUGGUGUUACUGCGAAGGGGGGACGGAGAAGGCUAUGUUGGCCGGGCGACGGUUGUCCCGGUUUAAGCGUGUAGGUGUGUGUUCCAGGUAAAUCCGGUUCACUUUAACACUGAGGCGUGACGACGAGGCACUACGGUGCUGAAGUAACAAAUGCCCUGCUUCCAGGAAAAGCCUCUAAGCAUCAGGUAACAUCAAAUCGUACCCCAAACCGACACAGGUGGUCAGGUAGAGAAUACCAAGGCGCUUGAGAGAACUCGGGUGAAGGAACUAGGCAAAAUGGUGCCGUAACUUCGGGAGAAGGCACGCUGACACGUAGGUGAAGUGAUUUACUCAUGGAGCUGAAGUCAGUCGAAGAUACCAGCUGGCUGCAACUGUUUAUUAAAAACACAGCACUGUGCAAACACGAAAGUGGACGUAUACGGUGUGACGCCUGCCCGGUGCCGGAAGGUUAAUUGAUGGGGUCAGCGCAAGCGAAGCUCCUGAUCGAAGCCCCGGUAAACGGCGGCCGUAACUAUAACGGUCCUAAGGUAGCGAAAUUCCUUGUCGGGUAAGUUCCGACCUGCACGAAUGGCGUAAUGAUGGCCAGGCUGUCUCCACCCGAGACUCAGUGAAAUUGAACUCGCUGUGAAGAUGCAGUGUACCCGCGGCAAGACGGAAAGACCCCGUGAACCUUUACUAUAGCUUGACACUGAACAUUGAGCCUUGAUGUGUAGGAUAGGUGGGAGGCUUUGAAGUGUGGACGCCAGUCUGCAUGGAGCCGACCUUGAAAUACCACCCUUUAAUGUUU